GCCACCUCCUUGUUCAGCUCGUCCCCUGCUCCAUUCUUCUUCCCUCCUUUUCUCCUGAGAUCACUUUCUUAAUCAGCCACCUGCAGAAGAACCCCCAUCUCAGGUUCCACUUUUAGGGAGCUCAACUUCAGACAGGAUUGGGUAAGAAAUUGGGGAAAAGGCAAUAUGAAUCCCAGUUUUCCUUUUGGGUAAGUGGGUGGCUGGAUGUGCUGAACACCGAGUAGAGGAGGCUUAGAAGAGGAUGAGGUUUGUGAGAGCAGAGAAGCUCAGUUUUGUUUACUGGAGAAGCAGAUGUCAUAUCCAGGAAGCAGCUGGAUACCUGCGGGUCUGCAGCCAGGAGAGAGCUCUAAAUGUUGUCACCAAACGUGACUAAAUGACAGCUGAAACCCUGAAGUUGGCGAGGAAGAAAUCAUGGAGAAAAACAGAGUGGUCUCAGGAUGAACUUGGAGGAAUGUGAGCAUUAUACACACAGCCAGGGGCUCCAAGGAUGGCCGAUGAGGAACAGUGUCUGAAGUAGUGUUUCCCAAAGAGUCACCCCUCUGGCUAUGUGCAAAUCCAUGGUUCAGACUCCAGACUGUGGAAUCAAAGUUUCUGGAGUGAAUGAAACGAACCACAUUUUUAUUGGCUUCUGGCUUACUCAGUCCUCCAGAAAUCUAGAUGCUCUUUCAAAGUGUAAGAUAAGUUUUCCUUCUGCUUCAUCGUGGCAGAGACUACUCACAUGUUCAUGAAACCCAUUUAUUCUCCAAAUCUCCCAGUCUGCCUUGCCAUUAGGAGUGGCUGUGUGAUUGAAUUCCAGCUACUGGGAUGUGAUAAAUGCUUGGCCUCCAAAAUAUCUUUCAUUACAUUUUCAUUGCUUUCUCUUCCCUUUCUUUAGAGAUGAAUGUCAGUGCCACAAAUGACCACAGACCACCCCACCCCUGGUUGCUGCUGGCUUUGGAUUGGACUUUUAGUGAACAAGAAAUAAAUUUUUAUUGUCUCAAGUCAUGGAAAUCUUGGGAUUUGUCUAUUACACCAGUCAGUUUUACCUUAACAAACAUACUUGCAAUCUCCAUUAGACAUAGAGAAUAUUUGUGCUCAUUUGCAUGAUGAGAUGAUUUCUUUCCUUGUGUAAAUGGUGACCAGAUGACAACAUUUCUCACAACUGUUGAUAAUGUCAUCUGCCUUCAGUUACUAAUGGUUGUCAUUAGGGUGAAGCUAACUGUCUCAGUUCAAAUGUUACCUCUUUACAAAGGCUCUCCUGGCCUCUCUAUUCAAAGUAUUCUACAACUCACACUCCAGGUAGUUUUAUCCCAUUAAUAAUUUCAGUGGAUGUAUUAGUCUAUUUUCAUACUCCUGAUAAAGACAUAUCCAAGAAUGGGAAGAAGAAGAGGUUUAAUGGACUUACAGUUCCAUGUGGCUGGGAAAGCCUCACAAUCAUGGUGGAAGGCAAGGAGAGGAG
RNAcentral lists this long non-coding RNA (1438 nucleotides) under Homo sapiens (human). Its description in RNAcentral is "HSALNT0133857". The record is from RNAcentral. Lineage: Eukaryota; Metazoa; Chordata; Mammalia; Primates; Hominidae.